CAUUAGCUCAGUGGUCAGAGCUCCCGGCUCAUAACCGGUCGGUCCCGGGUUCGAAUCCCUGAUG
RNAcentral lists this transfer RNA (64 nucleotides) under bovine gut metagenome. It matches the Rfam family "tRNA", at positions 5 to 66 of the family's 71-position model. Rfam says of the family: Transfer RNA (tRNA) molecules are approximately 80 nucleotides in length. Their secondary structure includes four short double-helical elements and three loops (D, anti-codon, and T loops). The record is from RNAcentral.